This 505-nucleotide long non-coding RNA is filed under the name Pan troglodytes (chimpanzee). RNAcentral's name for it is "long non-coding RNA NONPTRT015356". Lineage: Eukaryota; Metazoa; Chordata; Mammalia; Primates; Hominidae. The record is from RNAcentral.
CGGCAACCUAGCAGCUAUCUUGGUCUCCCCUGAGUGCAUUUGGAACCUGGCCCAUUCACAUCAGUCUGUCAACUCCCAGCCCGUGGCAGGUGACCCUCCCCCUUGACAAGGCAUAAGCUGCAGCCCUGCCCACAGCCUCCCCUCUUUCAUUUUCUCUUUCCUCUCAGUCUAUCUUAUAUUUUUCUUCUUUGUUCUCUAUUCUUUUUAUCUUUUUCUCCCUCUCUUGCUUCCUUUUGUUCUCCAGGGUGGCCGGUGUGGGCAGCUGGUGGCUUCCAUAAACUUCAAAUCUUUUUCAAGGUGAAGUUCCAUAUUUACUAUAGCAUAUCAUGCAUUCUUGCAACCGGGGAAGAAUGGCCUACAAAGCCUGGUUUGGACCACAUAUAUCCCGGAUUUCCUUGGACCGACUCAACUAUUUGUCCCAGCUCCAAGUUUCAAGAAGCCAGUCAAGACUGUCAGGAAUUCAAAGCCUUCUUUCUUGGUGCAAAACCUGACUCUUUUAGUCCAG